GAAUAGUAUUGGAAGAAGGAGUCAAUGGUGUGGACGAAGGAAUAAUAUAAGCUCCUAGAGAAUGGAUCAGAUCACUUGAAGUUCCAUGGAAUCCAACGAUUUUGCCGCCUCCUAGCUCAGCUUCUUCUCCAGAGGUUAGUCCAAACGGCUGAGAAGUUUUUCCUUUGAAUGUCUUGAAUAUAAGAGCUGUGACGAUCUCUAUCGGUGACCCGAAAAGUUUCUCGUAGUAAACUUUCACAUAGGUGAUGUAGUCUUCAGGAUCAAUCUCAAACUGCAAAAACAAAAACACAUCAAUACUAGAAAGAAAGAAAAAAAAAACUUUUGGGCAAUUUCAAGAAAUACAAAGAUUUGUGUACCUCCUCUGUUCCAAGUAGUGUUUGCUUCCCAUGUUCAAGUGAUACAAUCUUACCAUCUUUCUCGUAAUCAAACUUGACAUAAACAACACCAGAGUCACCUUGUCCAACAUAAACUUUCUUUACAUUGUCAUAAGCACCACCGUCGUCCCAAACAUCUCCACCACGACCACCUUGAGCUUCCAAUUUGGUCAGACCACCUGAUACCGGCGGAGUCAGCGGUGUAGUCGACGGAAUUAUAUAAACUCCAACAGAAUGGAUCAAAUCACUUGAACUUCCAUGAAAUCCAACGAUUUUGCCACCUCCUAGCUCAGCUUCUUCUCCAGAGGUUAGUCCAAAAGGCUGAGAAGUUUUCCCCUUGAAUGUCUUAAAGAUUAGAGCCGUUACGAUCUCUAUCGGUGAUCCAAAGAGCUUCUCGUAGUAAAUUUUCACUGAUGUUAUGUAAUCUUCUGGAUCAACCACAAACUAGCAAAAAAAAAAAAAGACAACCAAAAAUGAUCAGUUAAUGUUGAUGACAAGAGAACUCUCAUUGAAAACAAAAUAUUUA
RNAcentral lists this long non-coding RNA (900 nucleotides) under Arabidopsis thaliana (thale cress). Its description in RNAcentral is "long non-coding RNA (ATHA_LNC000100)". The record is from RNAcentral. Lineage: Eukaryota; Viridiplantae; Streptophyta; Magnoliopsida; Brassicales; Brassicaceae.